AGAAGUUGAACAUUUGUUUUGAGCCCAAUCUAGCUAAAAAAUUUAGGAAUCAAGUCAAGUAGAUUAUGACCCAAAUAGGCUAAAGAGAAACGAGUAAUUAGUUGCUAGUCAAGGUGCUUAUAUGAUAACACCUUGUAAUUUCUCUAUAUAUGACACUACUACCUAGGUAUUAGAUACUGAAAGUCCAGUUCACAUGUGCAAUUCAUUGUGUUGCCCAGCUAUGGAACCCAAGAGGGGGGGGG
Molecule: long non-coding RNA, 242 nt
Filed under: Elaeis guineensis (African oil palm)
Lineage: Eukaryota; Viridiplantae; Streptophyta; Magnoliopsida; Arecales; Arecaceae
Description: long non-coding RNA (EGUI_LNC050694)
Source: RNAcentral